AGCGGAUUGGCGCAGUUUGGUAGCGCGCCUGGUUUGGGACCAGGAGGUCGCAGGUUCGAAUCCUGUAUCCGCUACCA
This 77-nucleotide transfer RNA is filed under the name Saltatorellus ferox. Its description in RNAcentral is "Planctomycetes bacterium Poly30 tRNA-Pro". It matches the Rfam family "tRNA". From Rfam's summary of the family: Transfer RNA (tRNA) molecules are approximately 80 nucleotides in length. Their secondary structure includes four short double-helical elements and three loops (D, anti-codon, and T loops). Lineage: Bacteria; Pseudomonadati; Planctomycetota; Planctomycetia. The record is from RNAcentral.